Molecule: small RNA, 92 nt
Filed under: Mytilus galloprovincialis (Mediterranean mussel)
Lineage: Eukaryota; Metazoa; Mollusca; Bivalvia; Mytilida; Mytilidae
Source: RNAcentral
GAUUACAAUAACUUUUUUACUAUCCAUACGAGCCCCAAGUGAAAAAAGACUAGGGGCUCGUAUGGAUAGUAAAAAAGUUAUUGUAAUCGACU